Molecule: ribosomal RNA, 253 nt
Filed under: uncultured bacterium
Lineage: Bacteria
Description: partial 16S ribosomal RNA
Rfam family: Bacterial small subunit ribosomal RNA
Source: RNAcentral
AACGUAGGGGGCGAGCGUUAUCCGGAUUUACUGGGCGUAAAGCGCACGCAGGCGGCUAAUCAAGUUGGACGUGAAAGCUCCCGGCUUAACUGGGAGAGGUCGUACAAAACUGAUUGGCUUGAGGCUGAGAGAGGAGAGCAGAAUUCCCGGUGUAGUGGUGGAAUGCGUAGAUAUCGGGAGGAAUACCAGUGGCGAAGGCGGCUCUCUGGCUCAGAACUGACGCUGAGGUGCGAAAGCGUGGGGAGCGAACGGG